GAGUUUGAUCCUGGCUCAGAUUGAACGCUGGCGGCAUGCUUUACACAUGCAAGUCGAACGGUAACAGGUCUUCGGAUGCUGACGAGUGGCGAACGGGUGAGUAAUACAUCGGAACGUGCCUAGUAGUGGGGGAUAACUACUCGAAAGAGUAGCUAAUACCGCAUGAGAUCUACGGAUGAAAGCAGGGGAUCGCAAGACCUUGUGCUACUAGAGCGGCUGAUGGCAGAUUAGGUAGUUGGUGGGGUAAAGGCUCACCAAGCCAACGAUCUGUAGCUGGUCUGAGAGGACGACCAGCCACACUGGAACUGAGACACGGUCCAGACUCCUACGGGAGGCAGCAGUGGGGAAUUUUGGACAAUGGGCGAAAGCCUGAUCCAGCAAUGCCGCGUGCAGGAUGAAGGCCCUCGGGUUGUAAACUGCUUUUGUACGGAACGAAAAGCUCUGGGCUAAUAUCCCGGAGUCAUGACGGUACCGUAAGAAUAAGCACCGGCUAACUACGUGCCAGCAGCCGCGGUAAUACGUAGGGUGCAAGCGUUAAUCGGAAUUACUGGGCGUAAAGCGUGCGCAGGCGGUUAUGUAAGACAGAGGUGAAAUCCCCGGGCUCAACCUGGGAACUGCCUUUGUGACUGCAUGGCUAGAGUACGGUAGAGGGGGAUGGAAUUCCGCGUGUAGCAGUGAAAUGCGUAGAUAUGCGGAGGAACACCGAUGGCGAAGGCAAUCCCCUGGACCUGUACUGACGCUCAUGCACGAAAGCGUGGGGAGCAAACAGGAUUAGAUACCCUGGUAGUCCACGCCCUAAACGAUGUCAACUGGUUGUUGGGUCUUAACUGACUCAGUAACGAAGCUAACGCGUGAAGUUGACCGCCUGGGGAGUACGGCCGCAAGGUUGAAGCUCAAAGGAAUUUGANNGGGACCCGCACAAGCGGUGGAUGAUGUGGUUUAAUUCGAUGCAACGCGAAAAACCCUUACCCACCUUUGACAUGUACGGAAGUUACCAGAAAGAUG
This 1005-nucleotide ribosomal RNA is filed under the name uncultured bacterium. RNAcentral's name for it is "bacterial SSU rRNA". It matches the Rfam family "Bacterial small subunit ribosomal RNA", at positions 9 to 1008 of the family's 1533-position model. The record is from RNAcentral.